GACGAACGCUGGCGGCGUGCUUAACACAUGCAAGUCGAACGGAAAGGCCCUGCUUUUGUGGGGUGCUCGAGUGGCGAACGGGUGAGUAACACGUGAGUAACCUGCCCUUGACUUUGGGAUAACUUCAGGAAACUGGGGCUAAUACCGGAUAGGAGCUCCUGCUGCAUGGUGGGGGUUGGAAAGUUUCGGCGGGUGGGGAUGGACUCGCGGCUUAUCAGCUUGUUGGUGGGGUAGUGGCUUACCAAGGCUUUGACGGGUAGCCGGCCUGAGAGGGUGAACGGCCACAUUGGGACUGAGACACGGCCCAGACUCCUACGGGAGGCAGCAGUGGGGAAUAUUGCACAAUGGGCGGAAGCCUGAUGCAGCAACGCCGCGUGCGGGAUGACGGCCUUCGGGUUGUAAACCGCUUUCGCCUGUGACGAAGCGUGAGUGACGGUAAUGGGUGAAGAAGCACCGGCUAACUACGUG
RNAcentral lists this ribosomal RNA (468 nucleotides) under uncultured bacterium. RNAcentral describes it as "partial 16S ribosomal RNA". It matches the Rfam family "Bacterial small subunit ribosomal RNA", at positions 28 to 507 of the family's 1533-position model. The record is from RNAcentral.